CCUACGGGUGGCAGCAGUGGGGAAUAUUGCACAAUGGGGGAAACCCUGAUGCAGCGACGCCGCGUGAGUGAAGAAGUACUUCGUUAUGUAAAGUUCUAUCAGCAGGGAAGAAAAUGAUGGUACCUGAGUAAGAAGCCCCGGCUAACUACGUGCCAGCAGCCGCGGUAAUACGUAGGGGGCAAGCGUUAUCCGGAUUUACUGGGUGUAAAGGGAGCGUAGACGGGAGUGCAAGUCUGAAGUGAAAGGCGGGGGCUAAACCCCCAGACUAUUCGGGAAACUGUACGGCUGGAGUGCAGGAGAGGUAAGUGGAAUUCCUAGUGUAGCAGUGAAAUGCGUAGAUAUUAGGAGGAACACCAGUGGCGAAGGCGGCUUGCUGGACUGUAACUGACGUUGAGGCUCGAAAGCGUAGGGAGCAAACGGGAUUAGAUACCCGUGUAGUC
This 440-nucleotide ribosomal RNA is filed under the name uncultured bacterium. RNAcentral describes it as "partial 16S ribosomal RNA". It matches the Rfam family "Bacterial small subunit ribosomal RNA", at positions 338 to 795 of the family's 1533-position model. The record is from RNAcentral.